GCUAGGAAUGAAUGCAACAAACUAUCUUAAACAUUUAAAAAAUUCUUUGCCAUUUAUAAAGGCUUAAAUUGUUAACACUUUUCUAUACAUGUAUAUGAACAUUAUUGACCCUUCUUGUUAAGACAUCAGAGAAUUUGGUUGAUGAAGCACUUUAUACAGUAUGUCUUCACCUUAAAAUGUGUUUUGAUUUAAUAUGCUUUGUUUUUAAGUAGGCCAAGAUUGAGUUUUUUCUUUCUUUCUAGUAGGUGUUUGAAGCAGACUAAUAAGUUAGAGGACUUGGGCAAUACUCACCAAAACAAACAAGGCACCGCCCCAAAAAUGUACAUAUUGAUCUUAGGAAAUAUCACAGUUAGCAAAUAUCCUUAUUGUAGAGGCACUUAAUGAAGAGAUAGUAUUUUAAUGUCUGCCAGUUCUGAGGUAGGUGAAACUUAGUUCUACAUGAUGAUUUAGGAAUAUUUUAAACCUCUUCCCACAUGUUCUGUUCUUCAGGGGAAAAGUGAGUCGGGCUUCCAGAGUUAGCACUAAACUCACUUUCACAUUUAUGUUAUUCCUACCCACCACGUUUGACAAGGAAGCAGGGGCUAAAGCUAGGAGCUGAGUAAGUAAGAAGAAAUUGUCAUGUGGUUGACUACUGCUGCCAAGUAAGUUUGUGUUGUUUUUCUGUCAUAUUUAAGUUACAGAAACCAAGCCAACUUAAAAUAGUUUGUAGAGGUUAUUGAAGAAUAAAAGGCUGAGAAAAAUUAGUACACAUUUACAGUUGAGAUGUAAUUCAACUCGUUACUCUCAAUAUUGUUCACAUUAGACUUGCUGUUAUGCUUUAUCCCUUGUAUUCUUGCCUGAUACUUUUCAGAGUUCUUUCUCAUAUACAGUCUUUGCCAGACAGAGCAGAUGCUUUAUUCUGAUAUAUCCAGUUCUACUUUAGGCAAAACCAACAUGAGGUUGGUAGAAUGUCAGAAUUAGUAGUAGAUAAGGAAAAUUAGGCACAGACAGGUCAGGUUGGAACAGAGAGACCCCGAACUCACACACACUACACACUACAAGGUAAUAAGCAUUACCACCAUUUAAGUUGGUCGUCAAAGGCUGGUCCAAAUCAGGACAAGAUUUAUCUUGCUAAAUGUCAACAGAUUUAUAUCUAUUACAUUUUUCAUUUCCUCAAAAUAAGUAGUCAUGUUGUUACAACCAUGUUUAGCUCUAACCUUCCUCCUAACAAAUAGCAGUGUUGCGAAGAACAUUUUAGUGUGGAAAUUGUAUGUGGGAGGUGGGCAGUUAUAAAAUGUGAACUCAUGAUCUAUGGGAAUCAGAACAAAUAGUUAUUUAAGAAAGGACAUCAUAUAAGCAAAUUUGUAUGUUGAAACUUGUAUAGAACAUGGUGCAGUGAGUGAAUGCCCCCCAGCCACAAAAGCACUUUAGGCAUAUUAAAUGGACAUAGUUACUGUGCAAAACUUCAUUCAGGAAAUAAAUACAUUUAUGUAAUAUACAUCUUUGCCCCAAAAGAGAAAAGGAAUCAUGAAACUUAAGUACAGAAUUACUUUCAUAAGGCAUGUCUUAGAAUAAUCUGUCUUGAUAUAUGUAAAUUAUAUUUUAGGUAGGCCCAGAAACAAAUCCAGUUAAUUUAUGUGAAAAUUAGACUAUGUUUAAGAUAGUGGAUAAACUACUCAUUAAAUAUCUAGUAUCCAAAAAUUUGAUGCAGUUGCCCUCUUGUAAGAUUAAAAAAAUAAUAAGCAUAUGUUACAUGUGUUGCUAUUGUAAUUUGAUUGUUACUGGUGUCUUUGGUAUCCUACCCUCAUCCUUCAUAAAGGCAUGAGGCUAAAUAGCUGUUGGAAAACUGUCAAGACUUCAAACCCACUAAAAUCUAAAAGUUUAAUUCUUUUUUAACAUGGAUGAUUCAGCACUAGGGAACAUACCCAACAUGUGAGCAGAAGCAAGGGAAAAAGCAGAAUCAUUCACGUGUUUUGUGUUCACAUCUGUUCUGUGCCUAGUUGUUUGUUUAAUUUCAACCUUUUUCUUUGAUAAGAGAUUUUUUUUUAACAUACGAAGUCAUCCAAGACCCUAGUUUAUUUUGAAGUUAAGGGUUAAUGAAGUUGAAAUAUACUUUUAAAACAUAUAUUUAUGAAAAGUCAAAUUUAAAGUGGAACAUCUAAAAUAGCACUAUACAUAGAAAUCAGAUUUUAAAAGACAUCUUUUUUCUACUCAGUUUAGUUAAAAUCAUGACAUAAAUUUAGAAAUAAAAUAAUUAUAUAGUAGAAUUCCCUAAAAUAUUUCUGUUAACUGGCAUGUACUGACCAACUAUAAAUUAAGUAGGAGAACUCUUCCUAGUCUAUUCCAUUAUAUUCCACACCAAUCUCCUCCUCUGUUUGGUGUUAGGAACAAAUUUCUAUACCAUACAUUUCUGUUUCAGUAGUUCUUUGUUGAAAUGGGUAAAAUGUCAAAAUAAUAAGCUACAUAAAACUUAAAGUUCAAUUGUUUAAAAAUAUUGGGAUAGCUUUCUGUUGUAGGUUGUGUUAGAUUCUAUUGCCCAGGUAAGAUUACUUUAAAAUUUUUUUUGCACUUUUUUGUAAAUUAAAAGAAUAUGAAGCCAUAAAAUGGCAAGAUAUUUAGGCUUAAGAAAUUUUAAACUAGCAAACUUACAGCCUAAUUCUAUAAACCGGUCCUUGGUAGCAGUUCCUUUUCAGGCUAUUUAUAAACAGAAUUUAGAUGUACGUCAAAACAAAACUUUCCAAAGCUAAAUGUAAUAUCUUUUGGGUUAAUCUAUUUUUUUUUCAUUGUAUAUGCUACUUGUAUGUGUAUUCCCACGAUAUUCUAAUAUGCAUUGCAUUAAAAAUAAAAAGGCAGCUCUGGAUGAGCUCUUUUGUUACCUAUUUCUAAAUUUUUUAAUAAGGCUUUUUGUAGUCAGUAGUUCCUUAAAACGGGUUAAACUUCAUUACACAGUUCUUUAAAGCUGAUAGAUCAUGAUGAAAAUGAAUUUAAGGCCAAUGGUGAUAGAUGUUACAGACCUUUUAUCCCUUAAACAUAAGCUUUGAGAACGAUAACUACAUGCUUCAGAUGCUGUUACAUGAAUAUCAAAAUGUGAUGUGUCAGAAAUAAAGGGAUAGUUUAAAGGUGGAUAUUUGAAAAUUCUUUAGUCUUAGUAUAUAUAUAUAUAUGUAUAGAAUAGUAUACUCUAAAAAUAAGUGUGCAAUUUACUAGUACUACAGUACAGUGAGUAGCAUUAGGUAUGUCUCCUAUUUAUACCCUAUGUCCCAUUUAAUUGUAAGUGCAAUCCUUUUAAGUUCACUUCCUCUCUUACCCCGACCUAAUCUAACUUCAUAUAGAAGGCUUGUCUAGAAAGAGUAUUGUAUGUAUUUUCACUUUUGCACAGUGAAUUGCAUGUGCAACUUGUAACCACAGCUAUUGUUUUUAUGUUGACAUAACUCUUAAAUGUUCUCAUAUAUCAGCUCGCAUCCUUUAAGUAAAUUUAAUAAAUUCUUAACUCAGUUUU
This 3478-nucleotide long non-coding RNA is filed under the name Balaenoptera musculus (blue whale). RNAcentral describes it as "lncRNA (ENSBMSG00010005795.1)". The record is from RNAcentral. Lineage: Eukaryota; Metazoa; Chordata; Mammalia; Artiodactyla; Balaenopteridae.